RNAcentral lists this ribosomal RNA (255 nucleotides) under uncultured bacterium. Its description in RNAcentral is "partial 16S ribosomal RNA". It matches the Rfam family "Bacterial small subunit ribosomal RNA", at positions 57 to 305 of the family's 1533-position model. The record is from RNAcentral.
GCAAGUCGAACGAGAAAGUACCUUCGGGUGCGAGUAGAGUGGCGCACGGGUGAGUAACACGUAGGUGACCUACCUUUAGGCGGGGGAUAACUAGCGGAAACGCUAGCUAAUACCGCAUGUGCAGGACAAUUUUGAAAGUAGUCCUGGAAAGAGUGCUUCGGCACUUACCUAAAGAUGGGCCUGCGUAGCAUUAGCUUGUUGGUGGGGUAAUGGCCUACCAAGGCGACGAUGCUUAGCUGGUCUGAGAGGAUGAUC